AACCUGGUUGAUCCUGCCAGUAGUCAUAUGCUUGUCCUAAAGAUUAAGCCAUGCAUGUGUACGUUCAAGCCCUUGUACGGUGAAACUGCGGAUGGCUCAUUAUAUCAGUGAUAAUUUGGUUGGUGGAGAAUGCUGUGGAUAACCGUGGUAAUUCUAGAGCUAAUACAUGUGGAGCAGACGCAAGUCUGGCAUUUAUUAGAUAAAGCCUUGGCGGGGGGGGGUGUAUUCUCUUCCCUGCGCAGGUGAGUAAUGAUAACUGGGCGGAUCGCAAACUAUUUGCGACGCACCAAGGAAAUUUCUGCCCUAUCAACUGUGGAUGGUAGGAUAGGGGCCUACCAUGGUGGCGACGGGUGACGGGGAAUCAGGGUUCGAUUCCGGAGAGGGAGCCUGAGAGAUGGCUACCACUUCCAAGGAAGGCAGCAGGCGCGCAAAUUACCCAAUCCCGAGGCGGGGAGGUAGUGACAGGACAUGACGGGGCGGGGCGCACAGCGCCCUGCGACUGGGUUGAGGAAAAGAUAAAGCGAAUGACGAGAAACGAUUGGAGGGCAAGUCUGGUGCCAACAGCCGCGGUAAUUCCAGCUCCAAUGGUGUAUAUUAAAGUUGUUGCAGUUGAAAGGCUCGUAGUCGGAAGGCGGGGCGGUGGAUGCAGAGCAGGGAGACCUGGAUCUGGGUCUGGGGCCCUUCGGGGGGCGAGGGAUGAUACCCGACCCCCCCCGUUACUGUGAGGAAAUUAGAGUGUUCAAGGCAGGCGUGUGCUUGGAUAGGUUAGCAUGGAAAUAACGGGAUGGUCCGUUGGUUGG
Molecule: ribosomal RNA, 800 nt
Filed under: uncultured eukaryote
Lineage: Eukaryota
Description: bacterial SSU rRNA
Rfam family: Eukaryotic small subunit ribosomal RNA
Source: RNAcentral